Molecule: ribosomal RNA, 460 nt
Filed under: uncultured bacterium
Lineage: Bacteria
Description: partial 16S ribosomal RNA
Rfam family: Bacterial small subunit ribosomal RNA
Source: RNAcentral
CCUACGGGUGGCAGCAGUGAGGAAUAUUGGUCAAUGGGCGCGAGCCUGAACCAGCCAAGUCGCGUGAGGGAAGACGGUCCUAUGGAUUGUAAACCUCUUUUGUCGGGGAGCAAAAGACGCCACGCGUGGCGUUCCGAGAGUACCCGAAGAAUAAGCAUCGGCUAACUCCGUGCCAGCAGCCGCGGUAAUACGGAGGAUGCGAGCGUUAUCCGGAUUUAUUGGGUUUAAAGGGGGCGUAGGCCGCAUGUCAAGCGUGCGGUGAAAUGUCCGGGCUCAACCCGAGCCUUGCCGCGCGAACUGGUGUGCUUGAGUCCGCGGAAGGCAGGCGGAAUUCGUGGUGUAGCGGUGAAAUGCUUAGAUAUGACGCAGAACCCCGAUUGCGAAGGCAGCUUGCUAAAGCGGAACUGACGCUGAUGCUCGAAAGCGCGGGUAUCGAACAGGAUUAGAUACCCUUGUAGUC